This 73-nucleotide transfer RNA is filed under the name Dendronephthya gigantea. RNAcentral describes it as "tRNA-Asn". It matches the Rfam family "tRNA". From Rfam's summary of the family: Transfer RNA (tRNA) molecules are approximately 80 nucleotides in length. Their secondary structure includes four short double-helical elements and three loops (D, anti-codon, and T loops). The record is from RNAcentral. Lineage: Eukaryota; Metazoa; Cnidaria; Anthozoa; Malacalcyonacea; Nephtheidae.
GUUUCUGUGGCGCAAUCGGUUAGCGCGUUCGGCUGUUAACCGAAAGGUUGAUGGUUAAAUCCAUCCAGAAACG